UUCUUCCUUGUGAUCAUAUUUCUUUGCAGAUGGCUCUGAAUUUUUGUCUAAUAUUAAUGCUCCCUGAGACCUUUUCUCCCUGCUGUGUUCCAUCGAUGUCUCUUCACCUUAACUAUCCCACAGGUUGCCUCCUCUUUGCUGGACUGAAUACGUCUAGCAAUGCCGACUUUUCCAUACAAUCUUCCUGUGUAAAAUGAUCACUGUAUGAACUGAAAGUACCGAGAGACAAGCAAAAACCAGGUGAGAUUUGUAUGAAAGAAGGAAAAGGGUUCCCCUCUAUGACCUCUAGAGGGCGCGCGGUCUCCUGUGUAAGUCCUGCCAGCGCCUAAGCCUGCAGCUCUUCUAAGAACCAAAUAACAUUUUUCAGCUUGGAACCCACUUGGCUGCGAAAGCAAUACUUCUUAUUUCUGCUAAUUCUAUAUUCUAAUUAUCUUACAGCGUAAUUUCCAGCCUUCAUUCUGAGCUCCCAGGCUGACCCUGUAUGCAGGCCUCUGUAAUUCUGCCCAUUCACUCUCUGUUUGCCGAAGCCUGCUUCUUCGCUUCAGGCAGAGCUGGAAGAAGGACUGCAGGAGGAGCCCGCGCUGGGCCGAGGAGGCCGCUGCAGAGACCGGGAAGCCGAGGGGUUUUCACCCUGAGAGCCUGGUGCAGGCCUCUCCGGGCUUCCUUGUCAAGGCUUUCCCAGGCCAGCGGAGGGUAAUCCCGGUUUCCGAUCCUGCUGGACUCCAGGCAACAUGACUCAGGAACUCUGGGCCUGAGAGCCCUAGUGGUUCCCCAGGACCGUUAAUCCUCCCGGAAAAGGGGUGAUCUCAGCCAAGGAGACUGCACAGGCUUUGCUUACUGCUGAAAGCCCGCUAAUGGACAACAAAUAAAAACUACGGUGAUGAGGUGAUGAUGACCUUAGCUGCUGCCUGGCCCUAACCUUUGCGGGGGCUGUGGAGCUCGGGCUCCUCCUUUCAAGGCCCCACUUUUAUGACGCACAUAAAUUCUUACAGCCUUCGUUUUUUUCUAACUGAUGAAGUUUUGCGGGAAUUACCGAGGUAGCCUUUAACGGAUUUCAACUUUGCAUCGACCAUUUUCCUUGGAGCCGCACAGCUACUGCUCCAGUGAGGUGACGUGAAUCGCUAUGGCAUGUGCUGUGAUCGAAGCCCUCCUGCUCUAUUGCCGCAUUCUGCCCAUCGCUGUGGAGAGGCUGCAGCUCCGGGGUGGGCCAGCUGGGCAUCAGGGUGCCCCGCUCUCCCCCUUACCUGGCCUUGACUCCUCAUGCAAGAAACCUCUCCGUCCAUGUGCUAUGCAAAGAAGUGACAUGACAUCUCCACCUCACUUCGCCACACGGAACCGAAGAUGGAUUUAGAGUUGGCUGGGCCCAGCACCUUCUGGCCCCCUCUGUGGUCCUCUGGGCAUCAUGGUGCUGGCCACGCCCUUUCCCUUUGUGUAGCUGCAACCCAGGUUCACACAGUGAUGCAAUUGCCCAGGAGAAUAAAAUGCUUAAGCUUUUAA
Molecule: long non-coding RNA, 1497 nt
Organism: Cavia porcellus (domestic guinea pig)
Lineage: Eukaryota; Metazoa; Chordata; Mammalia; Rodentia; Caviidae
Exons: 3
Source: RefSeq, a predicted model, not a curated record